Molecule: ribosomal RNA, 416 nt
Filed under: uncultured bacterium
Lineage: Bacteria
Description: bacterial SSU rRNA
Rfam family: Bacterial small subunit ribosomal RNA
Source: RNAcentral
AACGAACGCUGGCGGCGUGCCUAACACAUGCAAGUCGAGCGGGAAAGUUCCCUUCGGGGAGCGAGUACAGCGGCGAACGGGUGAGUAACACGUAGGUAACCUACCCUUGAGACUGGGAUAACCUGCCGAAAGGCGGGCUAAUACUGGAUAAGACCGUGAGGGCUGCGGCCCUUGGGGUAAAAGGUGGCCUCUGCUUGCAAGCUACCACUUGAGGAUGGGCCUGCGCGCCAUUAGCUAGUUGGGAGGUAACGGCUCACCAAGGCUGGGAUGGCUAGCUGGUCUGAGAGGAUGGCCAGCCACACUGGGACUGAGACACGGCCCAGACUCCUACGGGAGGCAGCAGUGGGGAAUCUUGGACAAUGGGCGCAAGCCUGAUCCAGCCAUGCCGCGUGGGUGAAGAAGGCCUGGUUGUAAGU